GCGGAAGUGGCGAAAUUGGUAGACGCACCAGAUUUAGGUUCUGGCGCCGCAAGGUGUGGGAGUUCAAGUCUCCCCUUCCGCACCA
This 85-nucleotide transfer RNA is filed under the name Vibrio palustris. RNAcentral describes it as "tRNA-Leu". It matches the Rfam family "tRNA". Rfam says of the family: Transfer RNA (tRNA) molecules are approximately 80 nucleotides in length. Their secondary structure includes four short double-helical elements and three loops (D, anti-codon, and T loops). Further hydrogen bonds mediate the characteristic L-shaped molecular structure. tRNAs have two regions of fundamental functional importance: the anti-codon, which is responsible for specific mRNA codon recognition, and the 3' end, to which the tRNAs corresponding amino acid is attached (by aminoacyl-tRNA synthetases). tRNAs cope with the degeneracy of the genetic code in two manners: having more than one tRNA (with a specific anti-codon) for a particular amino acid; and 'wobble' base-pairing, i.e. permitting non-standard base-pairing at the 3rd anti-codon position. Lineage: Bacteria; Pseudomonadati; Pseudomonadota; Gammaproteobacteria; Vibrionales; Vibrionaceae. The record is from RNAcentral. RNAcentral also lists the same sequence under 3 other names.